This 71-nucleotide transfer RNA is filed under the name Marmota monax (woodchuck). RNAcentral's name for it is "tRNA.Ala". The record is from RNAcentral. Lineage: Eukaryota; Metazoa; Chordata; Mammalia; Rodentia; Sciuridae.
GGGGUUGUGGCUCAGUGGUAGAGUGCUCGCCUAGCACGAGUGAGGCCCUGGGUUCCAUCCUCAGCACCACA